RNAcentral lists this ribosomal RNA (434 nucleotides) under uncultured bacterium. Its description in RNAcentral is "partial 16S ribosomal RNA". It matches the Rfam family "Bacterial small subunit ribosomal RNA", at positions 29 to 507 of the family's 1533-position model. The record is from RNAcentral.
AGCGAACGCUGGCGGCAGGCCUAACACAUGCAAGUCGAACGAACCUUUCGGGGUUAGUGGCGGACGGGUGAGUCACACGUGGGAACGUGCCUUUAGGUUCGGAAUAACUCAGGGAAACUUGUGCUAAUACCGAAUGUGCCCUUCGGGGGAAAGAUUAAUCGCCUUUAGAGCGGCCCGCGUCUGUUUAGCUAGUUGGUUGAGGUAAUGGCUCACCAAGGCGACGAUCAGUAGCUGGUCUGAGAGGAUGAUCAGCCACAUUGGUACUGAGACACGGCCCAAACUCCUACGGGAGGCAGCAGUGGGGAAUCUUGCGCAAUGGGCGAAAGGCUGACGCAGCCAUGCCGCGUGAAUGAUGAAGGUCUUAGGAUUGUAAAAUUCUUUCACCGGGGACGAUAAUGACGGUACCCGGAGAAGAAGCCCCGGCUAACUUCGUG